RNAcentral lists this ribosomal RNA (463 nucleotides) under Treponema denticola. Its description in RNAcentral is "bacterial SSU rRNA". It matches the Rfam family "Bacterial small subunit ribosomal RNA", at positions 9 to 466 of the family's 1533-position model. The record is from RNAcentral. Lineage: Bacteria; Pseudomonadati; Spirochaetota; Spirochaetia; Treponematales; Treponemataceae.
GAGUUUGAUUCUGGCUCAGAACGAACGCUGGCGGCGCGUCUUAAGCAUGCAAGUCGAACGGUAAGGGAGAGCUUGCUCUCCCCUAGAGUGGCGGACUGGUGAGUAACGCGUGGGUGACCUGCCCUGAAGAUGGGGAUAGCUAGUAGAAAUAUUAGAUAAUACCGAAUGUGCUCAUCUACAUAAAGGUAAAUGAGGAAAGGAGCUACGGCUCCGCUUCAGGAUGGGCCCGCGUCCCAUUAGCUGGUUGGUGAGGUAAAGGCCCACCAAGGCAACGAUGGGUAUCCGGCCUGAGAGGGUGAACGGACACAUUGGGACUGAGAUACGGCCCAAACUCCUACGGGAGGCAGCAGCUAAGAAUCUUCCGCAAUGGACGAAAGUCUGACGGAGCGACGCCGUGUGAAUGAAGAAGGCUGAAAGGUUGUAAAAUUCUUUUGCAGAUGAAGAAUAAACACAGGAGGGAAUG